RNAcentral lists this ribosomal RNA (301 nucleotides) under uncultured bacterium. Its description in RNAcentral is "partial 16S ribosomal RNA". It matches the Rfam family "Bacterial small subunit ribosomal RNA", at positions 509 to 809 of the family's 1533-position model. The record is from RNAcentral.
CAGCCGCCGCGGUAAUACAGAGGGUGCAAGCGUUAGUCGGAAUUACUGGGCGUAAAGCGCGCGUAGGUGGUUCGCCAAGUUGGAUGUGAAAUCCCCGGGCUCAACCUGGGAACUGCAUCCAAAACUGGCGAGCUAGAGUAUGGUAGAGGGUGGUGGAAUUUCCUGUGUAGCGGUGAAAUGCGUAGAUAUAGGAAGGAACAUCAGUGGCGAAGGCGACCACCUGGACUGAUACUGACACUGAGGUGCGAAAGCGUGGGGAGCAAACAGGAUUAGAUACCCGAGUAGUCCCUGUCUCUUAUAA